GUGCUCGCUUUGGCAGCACGUAUACUAAAACUGGAACAAUACAGAGAAAAUUAGCAUGGCCCCUGUGCAAGGAUGGCACGCAAAUUCAUGAAGCAUUCCAUAUUUUU
Small nuclear RNA from Equus asinus (donkey), 107 nucleotides. The record is from Ensembl. NCBI's taxonomy places the organism in Eukaryota, Metazoa, Chordata, Mammalia, Perissodactyla, Equidae.